UGGGGGAUAUUGCACAAUGGGCGAAAGCCUGAUGCAGCGACGCCGCGUGGGGGAUGAAGGCCUUCGGGUUGUAAACUUCUUUUGCUCUGAACAAGGCAUGCUAAUGGGUGUGUUGAGUGUAGGGGUUGAUUAGCGCCGGCUAACUACGUGCCAGCAGCCGCGGUAAUACGUAGGGCGCGAGCGUUGUCCGGAAUUAUUGGGCGUAAAGGGCUUGUAGGUGGCUGGUUGCGUCUGUCGUGAAAGCUCAUGGCUUAACUGUGGGUUUGCGGUGGGUACGGGCUGGCUUGAGUGCAGUAGGGGAGGCUGGAAUUCCUGGUGUAGCGGUGGAAUGCACAGAUAUCAGGAGGAAUACCGGUGGCGAAGGCGGGUCUCUGGGCUGUUACUGACACUGAGGAGCGAAAGCAUGGGGAGCGAACAGG
RNAcentral lists this ribosomal RNA (419 nucleotides) under bacterium. RNAcentral's name for it is "partial 16S ribosomal RNA". It matches the Rfam family "Bacterial small subunit ribosomal RNA", at positions 355 to 776 of the family's 1533-position model. The record is from RNAcentral.